GAAAUACCAGUUAUGUAUAUAUCCCUUCUGAUAUACACUCUGUGGGAGAGUGUAUCUUCCAGAUAUAUACCAUCCUACAUAUGCUUCUUACAAUGUAACAUCAACACUUCAGUCAAGAGGUGAAGUCUAUUAAACAUAUCUCAUUUCUUUCUCUUUCCUUUUCCUCAUUCUCUGACUUCUCUCUUUUAUCUUCAGCCACUCAUGGAACCCAGCCAGCCACUCUGCUGUCAGCAAGUCCACACUAGCCAUGUAGAAAAAUAACACGGAAAGUUCCACAUGGAGAGAAACUAACUCCCCCAUUCAAUAGCUAGUCAAAAAAACAACCAAGGAUAAGCAAUCCUUCAGAUGAGUCCAGCUUCCAGCCAUUGGGUCUUCCAACUGAGGCCUCAGAUACUGUGGAAAAGAGGAUGGAGAGAAGAAUGAACAUUAAGGAGGGAGUGAAGAUGAAGAAAAUGCAAAGAUACGUGCACCCUACUUCUUUAGGAAGGCUUCAAGAAACUGCCAUGGGAUACUGCUGCUUACAUCUCACUGGCAAGUGAUGUCACAUGGCUAUACCUACGUGCAUGGAAGGCUGACGUACAUGAUCUUUAUUCUGGGCUACUAUGAGCUCAGCUAAAAUUUCCAUUACCAUGGAAGAACAGGUUAGUACAUAUAUAGGAGCAACUAACUGUCUCUACUUAAUCAUGUCCACUGUCUCUUUACCAAUCUUUUUAACAAUAUUUACUUUUUUCUUUCAUUAUUAUCAAAGCUAUUUUUUAUAUUUGUUAUGUUAAAAUGUAUCAUCAAUACUUCUCAAAAUUGUAUUAUAAAAAAACAACUGUUUCAAGAAAUCCCUUCUAUACCCCCAGUUUUGCCCCAUAGAUGUAACUACUAGGAAUUCUUUGAGUAUUUCAUUUUUAAACUAUUUUUCAAGAAAAAUAGGUUUAUGCUGCCAUUGAAAAAAUGUUUUUGUUUUCUAAGUUUGAUAAGGAUAUGUGUUUUUCACCAUUAUUUUUCCUUGAGUCAUAUAUUUCCC
This 1015-nucleotide long non-coding RNA is filed under the name Homo sapiens (human). RNAcentral's name for it is "HSALNT0044180". The record is from RNAcentral. Lineage: Eukaryota; Metazoa; Chordata; Mammalia; Primates; Hominidae.